UGGGAGGAAGUCUGGACGGAGGCACAUCGAGUUACAAACUCAAAUACGUGGCGGGAAUAUAAAUGGAAAAUUAUUAGCAGAUAUUUCAGGACCCCAGAUGUAGUUUCCAAGAUGGAUCCUAAAGUACCAAGCUUGUGUUGGAGAAACUGUGGCUCAGCGGUCCCCAAUCUUACACACAUUUUUUGGUCAUGCCCCAAACUUCAAAACUUUUGGGAUGAGGUGGAUGCAGUUGGAGCCACCUUCCUAUGACUUAUGGAUUCAAAAAGUAAGGGAAUUGUAUAAAAUGGAACAGAUAACCUACUCAUUAAGACUUCAAAAAACCACUUUUAGCCAGCAGGGGGCCAGCAGAAGCUCUGUUUAUGUAAAUAAGCCUAACAAGUUUGUCUCUUGGCAUAUGGUGUUUAGCUAUCCUGCCCAAAUUGUAUCCUUAUUUUAAUGUUGUAUGGUGAGGAGUCUACAAAUGUGAUGCUGAGGUUGUAAGAUAUCAUGCCAAGAUGUUUAUUUUAUGGAAAACUUUAUAUUGUCAACACUUGUGUUAUGUACCAUUGAUGUAUGGCUGUAUUAUUGCUCUGUAAAAAUAAUAAAAAUGUAAGUUCUAAAAAAAA
This is a long non-coding RNA of Xiphophorus hellerii (green swordtail), 605 nucleotides long. RefSeq lists it as uncharacterized. Lineage: Eukaryota; Metazoa; Chordata; Actinopteri; Cyprinodontiformes; Poeciliidae. The record is from RefSeq and is a predicted model, not a curated record. The transcript has 2 exons.